UGCAGAGGGCCAAUCCACGUGCGUAAGUCUUCAAACAUGGAUGAUGACAGCGGAACAGAGGAAUUGACUGCGGAGGAAGUUUUAUUGGCACAGCAUCGUAAAGAAAAAAAGGAAUUACGAGCUAAGAUCCAGCAGAUAAAAAAAGUAAUAAAGAUAAGAAAAAUAAGAAAGAAGGAGCUGAACAAAUAGCGAGAUUAGAAGAAGAAUUGACACAGCGACAUGAAAAAGAA
Penaeus vannamei (Pacific white shrimp) is the source of this 230-nucleotide non-coding RNA. The record is from RefSeq and is a predicted model, not a curated record. NCBI's taxonomy places the organism in Eukaryota, Metazoa, Arthropoda, Malacostraca, Decapoda, Penaeidae.